CGCGCAGUUCCGGUAGGUUUUGGUAGCCAUGUACCAUUCAUUCGGCGUCCGUUUGUCGCGGUGAUCGUGCAGCGCGUAAUACAAAUCCGGCGUCCGUCAGCAAAACGAAAACCCCAGACCAUUGAGAAAAAAAAAGACCUGUACAAUUUUGUAUUGGUAAACCGGAGAAAACCGACGUCGUGAUUCUGCCACGUCCGCGCGAUAUAUUCAAACGGACGCCCGCGUCCCGCCAUAAUACUAUUUUUGUUAUUAUUAUUCGUAAUCAGCAGCAGUUCCGCGGUGGUCGUCGCGUAAGGUAACGACAACAGCGA
Molecule: non-coding RNA, 311 nt
Organism: Cinara cedri
Lineage: Eukaryota; Metazoa; Arthropoda; Insecta; Hemiptera; Aphididae
Source: the annotation of a GenBank genome assembly